RNAcentral lists this ribosomal RNA (445 nucleotides) under uncultured bacterium. Its description in RNAcentral is "partial 16S ribosomal RNA". It matches the Rfam family "Bacterial small subunit ribosomal RNA", at positions 354 to 796 of the family's 1533-position model. The record is from RNAcentral.
GUGAGGAAUAUUGGUCAAUGGGCGAGAGCCUGAACCAGCCAAGUCGCGUGAAGGAAGACGGCCCUACGGGUUGUAAACUUCUUUUGCAAUGGAAUAAAAAGAGUUACGUGUAAUUCAUUGUAUGUACAUUGCGAAUAAGGAUCGGCUAACUCCGUGCCAGCAGCCGCGGUAAUACGGAGGAUCCGAGCGUUAUCCGGAUUUAUUGGGUUUAAAGGGUGCGUAGGCGGAUUGGAAAGUCAGCGGUGAAAGUUUGCAGCUUAACUGUAAAAUUGCCAUUGAAACUGUCAGUCUUGAGUGCAAAUGAGGUAGGCGGAAUGUGUUGUGUAGCGGUGAAAUGCAUAGAUAUAACACAGAACACCAAUUGCGAAGGCAGCUUACUGGGAUGCAACUGACGCUGAGGCACGAAAGCGUGGGGAUCAAACAGGAUUAGAUACCCGGGUAGUCC